This 497-nucleotide ribosomal RNA is filed under the name uncultured bacterium. Its description in RNAcentral is "partial 16S ribosomal RNA". It matches the Rfam family "Bacterial small subunit ribosomal RNA", at positions 28 to 507 of the family's 1533-position model. The record is from RNAcentral.
GACGAACGCUGGCGGCGUGCCUAAUACAUGCAAGUAGAACGCUGAAGCUUGGUGCUUGCACCGAGCGGAUGAGUUGCGAACGGGUGAGUAACGCGUAGGUAACCUGCCUGGUAGCGGGGGAUAACUAUUGGAAACGAUAGCUAAUACCGCAUAACAGUAGAUAUCGCAUGAUAGCUACUUGAAAGGUGCAAAUGCACCACUACCAGAUGGACCUGCGUUGUAUUAGCUAGUUGGUGAGGUAACGGCUCACCAAGGCAACGAUACAUAGCCGACCUGAGAGGGUGAUCGGCCACACUGGGACUGAGACACGGCCCAGACUCCUACGGGAGGCAGCAGUAGGGAAGCGUCGGCAAUGGACGGAAGUCUGACCGAGCAACGCCGCGGGAGGGAAGAAGGGUUUCGGAUCGUAAAGCUCUGUUGUAAGAGAAGAACGAGUGUGAGAGUGGAAAGUUCACACUGUGACGGUAUCUGACCAGAAAGGGACGGCUAACUACGUG